RNAcentral lists this transfer RNA (67 nucleotides) under Yezoterpnosia nigricosta. Its description in RNAcentral is "tRNA-Leu". Lineage: Eukaryota; Metazoa; Arthropoda; Insecta; Hemiptera; Cicadidae. The record is from RNAcentral.
UCCAUUAUGGCAGAAUUUAGUGCAAUGAAUUUAAGCUUCAUAUAUAAGUAUAUUUAUUUUAUUGGAA